UAUUCAUUUGCCUAAAAAGUAAACACUUAAAAAAAAAGACGUAGACCUAUCUCAUGUAUUCGAAUGCAUCACAACUUUUCAGCAUUUAGAAGUAUCUAAAGUUGUAACAUUGAAAAAGGAUAUCAUCGAUAAAUGUCUGGCACAUGUCACGCUCAAUCAAUGACACGGUAAAUAACUUUCUUUGAAGGUAAAAGUGUCCCGACACUUGAUCCAUAAAUUUCGAAAGAAUUCAAUUUCAAUAUAAAAUGUCUAAGUACAUAUAUAUCGCUCGUAUCGCUAAGGAGACUCUAUUUUAGUGUAAUUAAAAAACUUAUUAAAACUCCUUUCAUACGUGCCUGCCUCGUGCUUAAAAAAAAGAAAAAUAAAUGUUUCAAAUCAUUCUUAUUUUAAAUUAGGAAUUGUAUGUCUGCUUCGUAAAUUUGACAAUAAAAUGGCGUGUUUAAAAUUAAAAUGUAUUUUAAUUAUUCAUAAAUAUUAUAAUAAAUGCCCAGUUCAAGAUUGCUAAAAAUGGAUUAUUGACGUCGUGUAUUAACGUUUAUUUUAACCUUGAAUACUAGAAAUAAAUACAUUGCUUACUUUAAAGAUAAAUGAUAAUACCUAGUUGUUUUUCAAGACUGGCUGUCUUGAGUCUUAAAGUCAAAAUACUUAAAGGCCUACGAGACACAAGUAAACAAAAUUAUCUUCUUUGAAGAUCACCGAUCUUUAUAAACUAGGUGGCAUCCGAAAAUAAUAUCCAAUUUCUAACGCUAACACAACCUUAAAAAGUCAUUGAGCUAAAUAUAGCGAAGACCGCAAUAGACAGCUAAUGGCUUACUACUUGAACGGUAAGCAUUGACGGAACGCAUCAAUUACAAAUCAUUAUAACCGCGAAUGAACGAUGAAGGAUAAGACUAAUCACCAGCUACGUUUCCAAGUAUGCACCGUCAUAUCCACAAGUUUCUAUCUAUAGUUAAUCCAUGAAGAGAAAAAACGUUCGCCGCAACUAAACUUUCCGGACUAAAAAACUAGAUAAAUGAAUCCGGACUUUUUGAACAUUAAAUGAAUGCUGGA
Molecule: long non-coding RNA, 1050 nt
Organism: Trichoplusia ni (cabbage looper)
Lineage: Eukaryota; Metazoa; Arthropoda; Insecta; Lepidoptera; Noctuidae
Exons: 2
Source: RefSeq, a predicted model, not a curated record